RNAcentral lists this ribosomal RNA (465 nucleotides) under Vreelandella stevensii. RNAcentral's name for it is "partial 16S ribosomal RNA". It matches the Rfam family "Bacterial small subunit ribosomal RNA", at positions 338 to 795 of the family's 1533-position model. The record is from RNAcentral. Lineage: Bacteria; Pseudomonadati; Pseudomonadota; Gammaproteobacteria; Oceanospirillales; Halomonadaceae.
CCUACGGGGGGCAGCAGUGGGGAAUAUUGGACAAUGGGGGGAACCCUGAUCCAGCCAUGCCGCGUGUGUGAAGAAGGCCCUCGGGUUGUAAAGCACUUUCAGUGAGGAAGAACGCCUGGUGGUUAAUACCCAUCAGGAAAGACAUCACUCACAGAAGAAGCACCGGCUAACUCCGUGCCAGCAGCCGCGGUAAUACGGAGGGUGCGAGCGUUAAUCGGAAUUACUGGGCGUAAAGCGCGCGUAGGUGGCUUGAUAAGCCGGUUGUGAAAGCCCCGGGCUCAACCCGGGAACGGCAUCCGGAACUGUCAAGCUAGAGUGCAGGAGAGGAAGGUAGAAUUCCCGGUGUAGCGGUGAAAUGCGUAGAGAUCGGGAGGAAUACCAGUGGCGAAGGCGGCCUUCUGGACUGACACUGACACUGAGGUGCGAAAGCGUGGGUAGCAAACAGGAUUAGAUACCCGUGUAGUC